GGCUCCCGGGAGACCCGGCGCUCGUCUCUGUAGGACACCCACCACACACCGACGAGAUCCUCCUCAUAGGUCAGCUUCUCCCCCCUGGCCGGCUCCUGCCCCCACCUGCAAGCUGCUGCCUGGCAGGACAGACAGGAGUCGCUCGGAACACAAGCUGGGUGUUAGCAGAGGGAGGAAAUCAUGCAAAGAGACAAGUGACAGCAGACAAAGGGGCUCCUGCUGGAGAAACCGAGGAUGAACCUGGAGCCCAAGGAACCACAGGCAGAGCCAGAGCAACAGGAACCUGUCUACACGUAGCCGUGCUUACAGACUUACAACAAGCCCCACGGGAAACAACCCAAACAGCUCCCAGGGCUGAAUGUGCGGACAAAAUGUCUCGCAUCCCUGCAAGGGAAGAUGAUUCUUUCGUAAACAGGAAUGAAGUUCCGAUGCCCGGAUGAGCUCGAACCAGUUAUGGAAGGUGAGGGAGGCCACGCCAGGACCACGUGUGGCACGAGUCCGUCGUUUGGGAUGUGCAGCGACAGCCCGUCUACAGAGACACGAAGCACAGUGGCGGCGGCCUGGAGGGGGCCCGGGGAUCUUCUGGGGCCUGGGGACGCCUGACACUGAUGUAUGGUGAUGCCCCCACCCCCGGUGGGGUCACUGGGGAUCAUGGAGACAUAGGCCUGAACCGGGGGUGAUGACAGGUGACAUGGGGCUCCAUCCCACUGGGUGAGGCCCUAUUAGCGGCCCUGCAGGAUCUCACUCCUCAUUCCAAGCUGAGGUGUGGCGGCUACUGGCAGUUCACUGACGUUCCUGAGAAGGUUCCAGAAAAUGAAUAAA
Canis lupus familiaris (dog) is the source of this 822-nucleotide long non-coding RNA. RefSeq lists it as uncharacterized. Lineage: Eukaryota; Metazoa; Chordata; Mammalia; Carnivora; Canidae. The transcript is spliced from 3 exons. The record is from RefSeq and is a predicted model, not a curated record.